RNAcentral lists this non-coding RNA (28 nucleotides) under Rattus norvegicus (Norway rat). The record is from RNAcentral. Lineage: Eukaryota; Metazoa; Chordata; Mammalia; Rodentia; Muridae.
UGGAUCCGGAUACAGAACUCUCAGCUUC